CUGUUGUAUGAAAGGAGAGAAGGUUAGCACUCCCCCGGACAAGGAUGGAAGAGGCCCUUGGGCCUAACAACACCCAUAUGGUUAAGGCAUUGCCACCUACUUCACAUCUAACCACUGUUUUUU
Molecule: non-coding RNA, 123 nt
Filed under: Nannospalax galili (Upper Galilee mountains blind mole rat)
Lineage: Eukaryota; Metazoa; Chordata; Mammalia; Rodentia; Spalacidae
Source: RNAcentral